AACAAGGCGUACCUGCGGACCUGCGGAAGGAUCAUUAACAAAAUCCAUCAUACGAUGACCCUACCUUGUGUGCACCUGUAAAAUAACUGCCCUUUAGAGUAAAGAGUUGGAGGUGGUAGUGACCCUUAAAUGGUGUUGCGACGGCUCGCCAACCUUUUUCUAAAGGGUUUUUUAUAAACGUCUUUUGAACAAAUAGAAAUUUUAAACCACAACAAAUACAACUUUUAGCAAUGGAUCUCA
Molecule: unclassified non-coding RNA, 240 nt
Filed under: soil metagenome
Description: partial contains 5.8S ribosomal RNA, internal transcribed spacer 2, and large subunit ribosomal RNA
Source: RNAcentral